AUUGAACGCUGGCGGCAGGCCUAACACAUGCAAGUCGAACGGCAACAGGAAGCAGCUUGCUGCUUCGCUGACGAGUGGCGGACGGGUGAGUAAUGUCUGGGAAGCUGCCUGAUGGAGGGGGAUAACUACUGGAAACGGUAGCUAAUACCGCAUAAUGUCGCAAGACCAAAGAGGGGGACCUUCGGGCCUCUUGCCAUCGGAUGUGCCCAGAUGGGAUUAGCUUGUUGGUGGGGUAACGGCUCACCAAGGCGACGAUCCCUAGCUGGUCUGAGAGGAUGACCAGCCACACUGGAACUGAGACACAGUCCAGACUCCUACGGGAGGCAGCAGUGGGGAAUAUUGCACAAUGGGCGCAAGCCUGAUGCAGCCAUGCCGCGUGUAUGAAGAAGGCCUUCGGGUUGUAAAGUACUUUCAGCGGGGAGGAAGGGAGUAAAGUUAAUACCUUUGCUCAUUGACGUUACCCGCAGAAGAAGCACCGGCUAACUCCGUG
This 490-nucleotide ribosomal RNA is filed under the name uncultured bacterium. RNAcentral describes it as "partial 16S ribosomal RNA". It matches the Rfam family "Bacterial small subunit ribosomal RNA", at positions 30 to 507 of the family's 1533-position model. The record is from RNAcentral.